GUCGAGGAUCUUCCGCAAUGCACGAAAGUGUGACGGAGCGACGCCGCGUGGGUGAUGAAGGCCUUCGGGUUGUAAAGCCCUGUCGACUGGGAAGAAUGGCGGGAGGUUAAUAGCCAUCUCGUCUGACGCUACCAGUAAAGGAAGCACCGGCUAAAUACGUGCCAGCAGCCGCGGUAAUACGUAUGGUGCGAACGUUGUUCGGAAUCACUGGGCAUAAAGAGCACGUAGGCGGUCGGGCAAGUCCAUUGUGAAAUCCCCCGGCUUAACCGGGGAACUGCAAUGGAUACUACUCGGCUGGAGUGCAGGAGGGGAGAGUGGAAUUCCUGGUGGAGCGGUGAAAUGCGUAGAUAUCAGGAGGAACGCCGGCGGCGAAAGCGACUCUCUGGUCUGCCACUGACGCUGAGGUGCGAAAGCUAGGGGAGCAAACGGGAUUAGAAACCCGGGUAGUCC
This 450-nucleotide ribosomal RNA is filed under the name uncultured bacterium. Its description in RNAcentral is "bacterial SSU rRNA". It matches the Rfam family "Bacterial small subunit ribosomal RNA", at positions 354 to 796 of the family's 1533-position model. The record is from RNAcentral.